CCUACGGGUGGCUGCAGUGAGGAAUAUUGGUCAAUGGACGAGAGUCUGAACCAGCCAAGUAGCGUGAAGGAUGACUGCCCUAUGGGUUGUCAACUUCUUUUAUAAAGGAAUAAAACGAGGCACGUGUGCCUUUUUGCAUGUACUUUAUGAAUAAGGAUCGGCGAACUCCGUGCCAGCCGACCCGGUAAUACGGAGGAUCCGAGCGUUAUCCGGAUUUAUUGGGGUUAACGGGUGCGUAGGCGGGCAUUUAAGCCGGCGGUAAAAUGUCGGGGCUCAACCCCGGCCUGCCGUCGGAACUGGGUGCCUUGAGUGGGCGAGAAGUAUGCGGAAUGCGUGGUGUAGCGGUGAAAUGCAGAGAUAUCACGCAGAACCCCGAUUGCGAAGGCGGCAUACCGGCGCCCUACUGACGCUGAGGCACGAAAGUGCGGGUAUCGAACAGGAUUAGAUACCCUUGUAGUC
This 459-nucleotide ribosomal RNA is filed under the name uncultured bacterium. Its description in RNAcentral is "partial 16S ribosomal RNA". It matches the Rfam family "Bacterial small subunit ribosomal RNA", at positions 338 to 795 of the family's 1533-position model. The record is from RNAcentral.